This 422-nucleotide ribosomal RNA is filed under the name uncultured bacterium. Its description in RNAcentral is "bacterial SSU rRNA". It matches the Rfam family "Bacterial small subunit ribosomal RNA", at positions 355 to 774 of the family's 1533-position model. The record is from RNAcentral.
UGAGGAAUAUUGGUCAAUGGGCGCAAGCCUGAACCAGCCAUGCCGCGUGCAGGAUGAAGCAUCUAUGGUGUGUAAACUGCUUUUGUACGGGAAGAAACCACUCCUCGUGAGGGGUAUUGACGGUACCGUAAGAAUAAGGAUCGGCUAACUCCGUGCCAGCAGCCGCGGUAAUACGGAGGAUCCAAGCGUUAUCCGGAAUCAUUGGGUUUAAAGGGUCCGUAGGCGGGUCUGUAAGUCAGUGGUGAAAUCUCCCCGCUCAACGGGGAAACUGCCAUUGAUACUGCAGGUCUUGAAUUAUUGGGAAGUAACUAGAAUAUGUAGUGUAGCGGUGAAAUGCUUAGAGAUUACAUGGAAUACCGAUUGCGAAGGCAGCCUCCUGGGCCAGUACUGACGCUCAUGCACGAAAGCGUGGGGAGCAAACA